Molecule: ribosomal RNA, 253 nt
Filed under: uncultured bacterium
Lineage: Bacteria
Description: partial 16S ribosomal RNA
Rfam family: Bacterial small subunit ribosomal RNA
Source: RNAcentral
UACGUAGGGGGCUAGCGUUGUCCGGAUUUAUUGGGCGUAAAGAGCGUGUAGGCGGCCAGGUAGGUCUGCUGUGAAAACUCGAGGCUCAACCUCGAGACGUCGGUUGAAACCGUACGGCUAGAGUCCGGAAGAGGAGAGUGGAAUUCCCGGUGUAGCGGUGAAAUGCGCAGAUAUCGGGAAGAACACCCGUGGCGAAGGCGGCUCUCUGGGACGGUACUGACGCUGAGACGCGAAAGCGUGGGGAGCAAACAGG